UACGUAGGGGGCGAGCGUUGUCCGGAUUUAUUGGGCGUAAAGAGCUCGUAGGCGGCUUGUCGCGUCGUCCGUGAAAACUUGGGGCUCAACCCCAAGCUUGCGGUCGAUACGGGCAGGCUCGAGUUCGGUAGGGGAGACUGGAAUUCCUGGUGUAGCGGUGAAAUGCGCAGAUAUCAGGAGGAACACCGGUGGCGAAGGCGGGUCUCUGGGCCGAUACUGACGCUGAGGAGCGAAAGCGUGGGGAGCGAACAGG
This 253-nucleotide ribosomal RNA is filed under the name uncultured bacterium. Its description in RNAcentral is "partial 16S ribosomal RNA". It matches the Rfam family "Bacterial small subunit ribosomal RNA", at positions 524 to 776 of the family's 1533-position model. The record is from RNAcentral.